This 1458-nucleotide long non-coding RNA is filed under the name Saimiri boliviensis boliviensis (Bolivian squirrel monkey). Its description in RNAcentral is "lncRNA (ENSSBOG00000036446.1)". Lineage: Eukaryota; Metazoa; Chordata; Mammalia; Primates; Cebidae. The record is from RNAcentral.
CGCGCGCAGAGGCGGAGCCGCUCCGACGCCGAGAGGGGGGACCCAAGGAGCCGCCAGGGAGCGCUCGGGAGCAGCGCCGCGGCGGGGCGCCGUCCCGCCCUCCCAGCCGCCCCCGGAUCCUCCGAGAACGCCUGAGGCGGAGCCAGCGUCCGCCCUUCCCAGGUCACCUUGGAAAGGGUUCGCUUUCGUUUCCGCAAAGUAGGCGCCGCGCUUUCAGGACCGGUGGCUCCUGUGGAGUCCGCGGCUGAGCCGGGUCCGCCUUCGCACGCGUCGGGGCCAAAGGCGGCCCCGACACUCAGGGCGCGCGCCCGGGUAGCCCGUGCUGUGGAGACCGAAGCCGACGCGCCCGAGGCUCCCGUGUAGGCCGUGUAACCAGUGACCGGAAGUGGAGCCGGCUGCUCCAGUGGCGCAAUCGCCCUUUUAGAACCAAGCAACACCCAUUACCAAGGAAAUCCGUUGGCUGCAGACUUACGUGGACCCUUCUGUCUCCACUUUGCAUGCGAGCUCAGAAUUGUCUUCGAAGCAGCGGAGUACGGAAUCCCGGACCUCCCCUAAGGGCAGACACCGGAAUGCUGAUGCGGCUACAGCAGCGCUCGCCCACCUCGGUCCGUCUCUUCCCAAACCCCGAGAGGAAGGCGGUGGGCAGCUUGUGCACGCGUGCGAGUGCGUGCUUGGCCGAAUGCUGGAGGGGAAACAUGAGUUGCAGUCACUCUUAUAGGAAGGAGGAUUAAAGUUUCCACUUUUAACUCCAGCUGGGUGAUCACUCCUAAUGUUGAGUACUCCCGCCGCGCUGGAAAGUGAACGUCUCCCCGAGUGCAGCUGGUGCUGCCGCUCCCACUGCAGUCGACUAUUAGGUUGUCACCCUCCUGCCUCUCCUGCUUUCCCUGGUCAGAGUUAGUUAAUUCAUCUAUUCCUCCUGCGGAUGCAUAGGCAAUGAGCACUGCAGGCCAACUUCAGUGCCCAAAGCUGUGGAGGCAGUAAUGGAAAAACAUGGUUUUAUUUCUACGGAACUUGAUAUUACAAGUAACUAAUUACCAUGAUGACGCGUUCUGAGAAAGUAUGGAAUUCCCAUGGAAGUACAUGGCACCAGGCUAUUGACUCUUGGGAAUAUUGCUAGCCCAGGUUCCUCUCACUGGACAGAGAGACCACGAGGAGCAGUCAUUAAGGCUGGAAUCUCAAGGUUUUUCUCAUCUCAUGCUCUGGAAACUUGUGAGUACUUGGUUGAAAAAGCUCAGGAGAAUUGAUUAACACUGGAAUUCGAAAGAGGAAAAAAUGGGAGGGAAGAUAGUAAUCCACUUAUUUUGCUCAUGCUGGCUAAAUUAAAAUAUUUCCUCAGAAUAACUGUUUUGUUGGCUUUUGUGGCCAAGUCUGAAAGUGGAAACCCACUCCCAUACCCCAUUUCAUACUAGCUUCCUGAACCUCACAGAGACUCAACUUGCUUGGUAUUCUCAAAGUGUG